This 468-nucleotide ribosomal RNA is filed under the name uncultured bacterium. Its description in RNAcentral is "partial 16S ribosomal RNA". It matches the Rfam family "Bacterial small subunit ribosomal RNA", at positions 28 to 507 of the family's 1533-position model. The record is from RNAcentral.
GACGAACGCUGGCAGCGUGCUUAACACAUGCAAGUCGAACGGAAAGGCCCUGCUUUUGUGGGGUGCUCGAGUGGCGAACGGGUGAGUAACACGUGAGUAACCUGCCCUUGACUUUGGGAUAACUUCAGGAAACUGGGGCUAAUGCCGGAUAGGAGCUCCUGCUGCAUGGUGGGGGUUGGAAAGUUUCGGCGGUUGGGGAUGGACUCGCGGCUUAUCAGCUUGUUGGUGGGGUAGUGGCUUACCAAGGCUUUGACGGGUAGCCGGCCUGAGAGGGUGACCGGCCACAUUGGGACUGAGAUACGGCCCAGACUCCUACGGGAGGCAGCAGUGGGGAAUAUUGCACAAUGGGCGGAAGCCUGAUGCAGCAACGCCGCGUGCGGGAUGACGGCCUUCGGGUUGUAAACCGCUUUCGCCUGUGACGAAGCGUGAGUGACGGUAAUGGGUAAAGAAGCACCGGCUAACUACGUG